AUUGAACGCUGGCGGCAUGCUUUACACAUGCAAGUCGAACGGCAGCGCGGGCUUCGGCCUGGCGGCGAGUGGCGAACGGGUGAGUAAUGCAUCGGAACGUGCCCAGUAGUGGGGGAUAGCCCGGCGCAUGCCGGAUUAAUACCGCAUACGACCUGAGGGUGAAAGCGGGGGACCGAAAGGCCUCGCGCUAUUGGAGCGGCCGAUGUCGGAUUAGCUAGUUGGUGGGGUAAAGGCUUACCAAGGCGACGAUCAGUAGCUGGUCUGAGAGGACGACCAGCCACACUGGGACUGAGACACGGCCCAGACUCCGACGGGAGGCAGCAGUGGGGAAUUUUGGACAAUGGGGGCAACCCUGAUCCAGCCAUGCCGCGUGCGGGAAGAAGGCCUUCGGAUUGUAAACCGCUUUUAUGCGGGAAGAAAGCCAAUGGGCUAAUACCACGGGGGGAUGACGGUACCGGAAGAAUAAGCACCGGCUAACUACGUG
RNAcentral lists this ribosomal RNA (484 nucleotides) under uncultured bacterium. Its description in RNAcentral is "partial 16S ribosomal RNA". It matches the Rfam family "Bacterial small subunit ribosomal RNA", at positions 29 to 507 of the family's 1533-position model. The record is from RNAcentral.